Molecule: ribosomal RNA, 464 nt
Filed under: uncultured bacterium
Lineage: Bacteria
Description: partial 16S ribosomal RNA
Rfam family: Bacterial small subunit ribosomal RNA
Source: RNAcentral
CCUACGGGAGGCAGCAGUGGGGAAUAUUGCGCAAUGGGCGAAAGCCUGACGCAGCGACGCCGCGUGAGGGAUGAAGGUCUUCGGAUCGUAAACCUCUGUCAGCAGGGAAGAACGGUCACUGUGCUAAUCAGCAGUGAAUUGACGGUACCUGCAAAGGAAGCACCGGCUAACUCCGUGCCAGCAGCCGCGGUAAGACGGAGGAUACGAGUGUUAUCCGGAUUUAUUGGGUUAAAGGGGUGCGGAGGCGGUUUUUUAAGUUUGUGGGAAAACGUCGGGCCUAACCCUUGAUUUGCCAUUAAUACUGGAAGACUCGAGUUCAGACGAGGUAGGCGGAAUUAGUGAAGUAGCGGGGAAAUGCUUAGAUAUAACUUAGAACUCCGAUAGCGAAGGCAGCUUACCAGACUGCGACUGACGCUGAAGCACGAGAGCGUGGGUAGCGAACAGGAUUAGAUACCCCAGUAGUC